Molecule: ribosomal RNA, 253 nt
Filed under: uncultured bacterium
Lineage: Bacteria
Description: partial 16S ribosomal RNA
Rfam family: Bacterial small subunit ribosomal RNA
Source: RNAcentral
UACAGAGAGUGCAAACGUUGUUCGGAAUUACUGGGCUUAAAGAGCACGUAGGCGGCAUCGUAAGUGUCGGGUGAAAUCCCACGGCUCACCCGUGGAACUGCCCGGCAUACUGCGGUGCUAGAGUGUGGUAGGGGAGAGCGGAACUCCUGGUGGAGCGGUGAAAUGCGUAGAUAUCAGGAGGAACACCGGUGGCGAAGGCUGCUCUCUGGUCCACAACUGACGCUGAGGUGCGAAAGCUAGGGGAGCAAACGGG